RNAcentral lists this ribosomal RNA (480 nucleotides) under uncultured bacterium. RNAcentral describes it as "partial 16S ribosomal RNA". It matches the Rfam family "Bacterial small subunit ribosomal RNA", at positions 28 to 507 of the family's 1533-position model. The record is from RNAcentral.
GAUGAACGCUGGCGGCGUGCUUAACACAUGCAAGUCGAACGGAACUACUCCAAUGAGAGUCUUCGGAAAGGAUUUGGUUUAGUUUAGUGGCGGACGGGUGAGUAACGCGUGGGUAACCUGCCCUAUACAGGGGGAUAACAGUUGGAAACGACUGUUAAUACCGCAUAAGCGCACAGGAGCGCAUGCUCCGGUGUGAAAAACUCCGGUGGUAUAGGAUGGACCCGCGUCUGAUUAGCUGGUUGGCGGGGUAACGGCCCACCAAGGCGACGAUCAGUAGCCGGGCUGAGAGGGUGGACGGCCACAUUGAGACUGAGACACGGCCCAAACUCCUACGGGAGGCAGCAGUGGGGAAUAUUGCACAAUGGGGGAAACCCUGAUGCAGCGACGCCGCGUGAGCGAAGAAGUAUCUCGGGAUGUAAAGCUCUAUCAGCAGGGAAGAAAAUGACGGUACCUGAAGAAGAAGCCCCGGCUAACUACGUG